AUGAAGAAAUCAGAUUAUAAUUUUUGCAAUAACAUAGUCCAAAUACCACUUACAUAUGGAGAAGAAAGGCAUAGGAAAACAGAUGAAGUAGAAAAUGAGGCUCCAGAAUAUGAAUCAAGUGAAGAUGAAAUAGACCUAAUAGAUGAUUUAGCCGAUGAAAUUACAAUAAGAGAUUUGUCAGUAAUAAAUGAUGACAUGAUAAUAGGGUUAAGAUUUUUACAGCAAUCUUUACAAACCACAAUCAUACAUGAAGAGGGGGUAACAUUUAUUCCUUAUCAAGAUAAUGUUCCAUACAUAUCUGAAGUGCGAAAACAAAGAAAGUCCUUGCAAAAUGUAGAAAUAUCUAAUUUAGAUGAUGAAUAUAGAACAAGUCCAGAUCCCCUUGAAUUCUGUAAAGACGAAGAACUUAGUGAGACCAUAGAAGAAUAUCAUAUAGAAAAUACAUGUACUGAAUGCAUUGGGUUGCAAUCAUUCUCUCCAAAUUGGUAUAGAGAUAUAAAAUCCAAAAAGGAUAUAGAUAAGAUUGUGCAAAGUCUAGAAAGUAUACAAAUUAUUGGAGAAAUACCAAUGAAACAUUGGGAUAAGAACUCUAUAGUUUGCAAAAUAAAUAUCAUAAAUCCAGAUUAUAUAAUUAAGUCAGGACCAAUAGAAGCGACUCCUAAAGAUAUCGAAGAGUUCAAAAUGCAUAUUGAAGAGUUAUUAAAGUUAUAA
RNAcentral lists this ribosomal RNA (711 nucleotides) under Triticum aestivum (bread wheat). RNAcentral's name for it is "partial small subunit ribosomal RNA". Lineage: Eukaryota; Viridiplantae; Streptophyta; Magnoliopsida; Poales; Poaceae. The record is from RNAcentral.